This 459-nucleotide ribosomal RNA is filed under the name uncultured bacterium. RNAcentral's name for it is "bacterial SSU rRNA". It matches the Rfam family "Bacterial small subunit ribosomal RNA", at positions 338 to 795 of the family's 1533-position model. The record is from RNAcentral.
CCUACGGGGGGCUGCAGUAGGGAAUAUUGGGCAAUGGAGGCAACUCUGACCCAGCCAUGCCGCGUGCAGGAAGAAGGCGUUAUGCGUUGUAAACUGCUUUUAUAUAGGAAGAAAUAGACCUUGCGAGGUAAGUUGACGGUACUAUAUGAAUAAGCACCGGCUAACUCCGUGCCAGCAGCCGCGGUAAUACGGAGGGUGCAAGCGUUGUCCGGAUUUAUUGGGUUUAAAGGGUGCGUAGGCGGUUUAUUAAGUCAGUGGUGAAAGACGGUCGCUCAACGAUUGCAGUGCCAUUGAUACUGGUAGACUUGAGUGGGAUUGAGGUAGCUGGAAUGGAUAGUGUAGCGGUGAAAUGCAUAGAUAUUAUCCAGAACACCAAUUGCGUAGGCAAGUUACUAAGUCUCAACUGACGCUGAGGCACGAAAGUGUGGGUAUCAAACAGGAUUAGAUACCCAAGUAGUC